RNAcentral lists this ribosomal RNA (314 nucleotides) under Anaplasma sp. Rg4m. RNAcentral's name for it is "bacterial SSU rRNA". It matches the Rfam family "Bacterial small subunit ribosomal RNA", at positions 168 to 516 of the family's 1533-position model. Lineage: Bacteria; Pseudomonadati; Pseudomonadota; Alphaproteobacteria; Rickettsiales; Anaplasmataceae. The record is from RNAcentral.
ACUGUAUAAUCCCUGCGGGGGAAAGAUUUAUCGCUAUUAGAUGAGCCUAUGUCAGAUUAGCUAGUUGGUGGGGUAAUGGCCCACCAAGGCGGUGAUCUGUAGCUGGUCUGAGAGGAUGAUCAGCCACACUGGAACUGAGACACGGUCCAGACUCCUACGGGAGGCAGCAGUGGGGAAUAUUGGACAAUGGGCGCAAGCCUGAUCCAGCUAUGCCGCGUGAGUGAGGAAGGCCUUAGGGUUGUAAAACUCUUUCAGUAGGGAAGAUAAUGACGGUACCUACAGAAAAAGUCCCGGCAAACUCGGGAUCCCGACCA